UGUCCUUUCAUUGAUGAGAGGAAUCCAUCGACUUGUUACCUUAUCAAUGGAAUUCUUGUUGUUAACAGCAUAUACUAUACAAAUCACAUUUGCCUGUGAGAUUUCAUGAUAAAGUUGUUCAUCAUUUUGUUCUGCUUCUGAAUAAUCCACUAUGUGGGUUGGCACUCUUUCAGGGGUGACAUCAGCUGGAAUGGUGAUUUCUUCAGCACGUGGUGGAACCUCUUCUGGAAAUUCCUCACUGACAAGAGACAUAAUUAGCGAUGUCUUCCCAACUCUGGGUUCUCCCACCAGCAGGAUCCUCACAUCCUUCUUCAUGGCCCCGCUGCCUGGCCCCGCCGCGGGGCGCUCACAUCGGGCUCGCUGGGGGAAGCGGAGCCGCCGCGGCCUGCGCGCCCCUCACACCGCGACCCUCUCCGCACCGUG
This 423-nucleotide long non-coding RNA is filed under the name Gallus gallus (chicken). Lineage: Eukaryota; Metazoa; Chordata; Aves; Galliformes; Phasianidae. The record is from RNAcentral.